UCCAGACUCCUACGGGAGGCAGCAGUAGGGAAUUUUGCGCAAUGGGCGAAAGCCUGACGCAGCAACGCCGCGUGAUCGAGACGCCCUUCGGGGUGUAAAGAUCUGUCAGUGGGGACGAAACUUGACGGUACCCACAGAGGAAGCACCGGCUAACUCCGUGCCAGCAGCCGCGGUAAUACGGAGGAUGCGAGCGUUAUCCGGAUUUAUUGGGUUUAAAGGGUGCGUAGGCGGAGUGUCAAGUCAGCGGUAAAAUUUCGGGGCUCAACCCCGUCGUGCCGUUGAAACUGACACCCUUGAGUGAGUGAGAAGUAAGCGGAAUGCGUGGUGUAGCGGUGAAAUGCAUAGAUAUCACGCAGAACGCCGAUUGCGAAGGCAGCUUACCGGCGCUCAACUGACGCUGAGGCACGAAAGUGCGGGUAUCGAACAGGAUUAGAUACCCCCGUAACU
This 447-nucleotide ribosomal RNA is filed under the name uncultured bacterium. Its description in RNAcentral is "bacterial SSU rRNA". It matches the Rfam family "Bacterial small subunit ribosomal RNA", at positions 330 to 796 of the family's 1533-position model. The record is from RNAcentral.